GCCUGGGUGGCUCAGUCGGUUGAGCAUCCGACUUCAGCUCGGGUCAUGAUCUCACGGCUUGUGAGUUCAAGCCCCACAUCGGGCU
RNAcentral lists this transfer RNA (85 nucleotides) under Felis catus (domestic cat). It matches the Rfam family "tRNA". From Rfam's summary of the family: Transfer RNA (tRNA) molecules are approximately 80 nucleotides in length. Lineage: Eukaryota; Metazoa; Chordata; Mammalia; Carnivora; Felidae. The record is from Rfam by way of RNAcentral. RNAcentral also lists the same sequence under 2 other names.